RNAcentral lists this ribosomal RNA (729 nucleotides) under uncultured archaeon. RNAcentral describes it as "bacterial SSU rRNA". It matches the Rfam family "Archaeal small subunit ribosomal RNA", at positions 24 to 730 of the family's 1478-position model. The record is from RNAcentral.
CCACUGCUAUCGGGAUAGGACUAAGACAUGCUAGUUGAGCGCUUCCAGCCAACACGGGAGCGCAGCGCACAGCUCAGUAACACGUGGCUAAUCUGCCCUUGGGACCGGAACACCCCCGGGAAACUGGGGCUAAUUCUCGAUAGGUGAAGAACUCUGGAAUGAGUCUUUGCCAAAAAGACGUUUACGUUAUGCUCGUAGGCGUCGCCCAAGGAUGAGGCCGCGACCGAUCAGGUUGUUGGUGAGGUAAUGGCUCACCAAGCCUUUUACCGGUGCGGGCCGUGAGAGCGGGAGCCCGGAGAUGGGCACUGAGACAAGGGCCCAGGCCCUACGGGGCGCAGCAGUCGCGAAAACUUUGCAAUACACGAAAGUGUGACAGGGCUAUCCCGAGUGCCAUCCGCUGAGGAAGGCUUUUACCCAGUCUAGAACGCUGGGGGGAUAAGGAGAGGGCAAGUCUGGUGUCAGCCGCCGCGGUAAUACCAGCUCUCCGAGUGGUGUGGAUGUUUAUUGGGCCUAAAGCAUCCGUAGCUGGCUGAGUUAGUCCCUUGUUAAAUCCACCGAAUUAAUCGUUGGAUUGCGGAGGAUACUGCUCGGCUAGGGACGAGAGAGGCAGACGGUAUUUCCGGGGUAGGGGUGAAAUCCUAUAAUCCCGGGAAGACCACCAGUGGCGAAGGCUGUCUGCUAGAACGCGCCCGACGGUGAGGGAUGAAAGCUGGGGGAGCGAACCGGAUU